RNAcentral lists this ribosomal RNA (863 nucleotides) under Mycoleptodiscus endophyticus. RNAcentral's name for it is "LSU rRNA". It matches the Rfam family "Eukaryotic large subunit ribosomal RNA", at positions 66 to 950 of the family's 3401-position model. Lineage: Eukaryota; Fungi; Ascomycota; Dothideomycetes; Muyocopronales; Muyocopronaceae. The record is from RNAcentral.
CAACAGGGAUUGCCUCAGUAACGGCGAGUGAAGCGGCAACAGCUCAAAUUUGAAAUCUGGCUCCUUUGGGGUCCGAAUUGUAAUUUGUAGAGGAUGCUUCGGCGUUGGCGCCGCCCAAAGUUCCUUGGAACGGGACGUCAUAGAGGGUGAGAGCCCCGUGUCCGGGCGGAUGCCUUUGCCGUGUGAAGCUCCUUCGACGAGUCGAGUUGUUUGGGAAUGCAGCUCAAAAUGGGAGGUAAAUUUCUUCCAAAGCUAAAUACCGGCCGGAGACCGAUAGUGCACAAGUAGAGUGAUCGAAAGAUGAAAAGCACUUUGGAAAGAGAGUCAAACAGCGCGUGAAAUUGUUGAAAGGGAAGCGCUUGCGGCCAGACUUGGCCGUCGUUGCUCGGCGGGACUUCUGCCCCGUUUGUUCUUCGGCGGCUGGGCCAGCAUCGGCUCGGGCGGCUGGAUAAAGGCCGCGGGAAUGUAGCUCCUCGGAGUGUUAUAGCCCGCGGUGGAAUGCAGCCUGCCUGGGUCGAGGUCUGCGCAUCUGCUAGGAUGCUGGCGUAAUGGCCUCAAGCGGCCCGUCUUGAAACACGGACCAAGGAGUCUAACAUUCGUGCGAGUGUUCGGGUGUCAAACCCGUGCGCGUAAUGAAAGUGAACGGAGGUGGGAACCCUCACGGGUGCACCAUCGACCGAUCCUAAUGUCUUCGGAUGGAUUUGAGUAUGAGCACGUAUGUUGGGACCCGAAAGAUGGUGAACUAUGCCUAAGCAGGGCGAAGCCAGAGGAAACUCUGGUGGAGGCUCGCAGCGGUUCUGACGUGCAAAUCGAUCGUCAAAUUUGGGUAUAGGGGCGAAAGACUAAUCGAACCAUGCAGAUUG